AUCCAACUGACGAGUCCCAAAUAGGACGAAACGCGCGUCGUGGAU
Non-coding RNA from Schistosoma margrebowiei, 45 nucleotides. The record is from Rfam. NCBI's taxonomy places the organism in Eukaryota, Metazoa, Platyhelminthes, Trematoda, Strigeidida, Schistosomatidae.